AAAAAAUAGAACAGCACAUUUAAGGAAAAAAAGAAAAGAGUUCGUUUGCAGACAUUGGCUGAUGUUGAGUGAUAAAUUUGAAUGCUAUAUGGGGCAUUUAACGUGAUUGUCUAGUGUAAAAGCUUUGGCUUUUGCUUAGGUAAAAUGAAAUGAAGAAUAAUAGUGAAGAGCGAGCAAGCUGGGUACAGUUUAUUUGCUAACCAUAAAGGGGAGACUUGACUGUCUUCAACUGAUUAAUUUACCAAUAAUAUCAUUCGAAGCUUAGAAAAUGGUGCAUUUCUAUAUGCUGUAUCGGCAACGUCCUGCACUAAUCAUGAAGAGUAGAACUUGUACAAUGUAUGAAAAAGCUUUGAAGUGGAGGUUCAAGAACAAGAAGUUAGCAGUUCAGAGGGGCAAAAGUUGGCAUAUCGGCAAAGAUCAAUUCAUGUAAUUUUCACUGGUCGGCAGAUGUAGAACUAGGAGGGGUUGGACUUUGACCAUCUUUCCUAUCCUUCUCACCAGUUGGAGAUGCAGCUCCAUUUCUGCCUGCAGCAGCCAUUUCCUUUGCCUCUUCUAGAGUCAAAUGGGAAGCCAUGCCCUCCUCAAUGGGAAGGGUUCUCUUUGAGCCCUGCAAAGCAACACCAAGAACAAGAUUUUCCUCUAAUGCAGGUCUUGACACUGAUGGCUG
RNAcentral lists this unclassified non-coding RNA (667 nucleotides) under Hevea brasiliensis (rubber tree). The record is from RNAcentral. Lineage: Eukaryota; Viridiplantae; Streptophyta; Magnoliopsida; Malpighiales; Euphorbiaceae.